Molecule: ribosomal RNA, 696 nt
Filed under: Triticum aestivum (bread wheat)
Lineage: Eukaryota; Viridiplantae; Streptophyta; Magnoliopsida; Poales; Poaceae
Description: partial small subunit ribosomal RNA
Source: RNAcentral
AUGAACAUUGCUCUCCUGGCCAAGUGGCUGUGGAGGAUUGCGAAUGGAGAAGGUGGCUUGUGGCUGCGCAUCAUCCAGCAGAAAUACUUCCAUGGUCAACCACUCGCCUUCUGCCAGCGGUUCGGUGGGUCCCAGUUCUGGCAAUCAGCUAUACAGCUUCUUCCAGUCCUCCACACAGGCACCUCCAUCGCGGUUGGAUCUAGCACUGCCAUGCUGUUCUGGUUUGAUAGAUGGGCUGAGACUCCCUUCACGGCUCGAUUCCCUGACCUGUUUUCCAUCAUGGUUGAUCCGCGGAUUUCUGUCGCGGUGGCCCUUAUUGACUUAGGGCACCUCGCCUUCCGGCGGCCCUUUGGUCCAGCGGAAACCGAUGCGUGGCACGACCUACUCGACUGCAUUGCUCUACACGAGCCAGAUUUGGAGAUUGGUGAGGACCGCACUAGGUGGCGGCUAGAGCCAUCUGGGCAAUUCUCAUCUAAAUCUCCCUAUCAGGCGAUUGCGCCUUCGCCGGGUCACGAAGCUCUCACCACCAUCUGGGCAAUCCGGCUCCCCUUGAAGAUUAGGAUCUUCCUGUGGCAAUGGAUGUUGGGGAACGUAGCAGAAAUUCAAAAUUUUCCUACGUGUCACCAAGAUCUAUCUAUGGAGAGACCAGCAACGAGUAGAAAGAGAGUGCAUCUACAUACCCUUGUAGAUCGCUAA